UACGUAGGGUGCGAGCGUUGCCCGGAUUUAUUGGGCGUAAAGGGCGCGUAGGCGGUCACGCACGUCCGUUGUGAAAUCGCUCGGCUCAACUGGGCGGGGUCAGCGGAUACGGCGUGGCUGGAGCAAGCUAGGGGGCAAUGGAAUUCCCGGUGUAGUGGUGGAAUGCGUAGAUAUCGGGAGGAACACCAGUGGCGAAGGCGGUUGCCUGGAGCUUUGCUGACGCUGAUGCGCGAAAGCGUUGGGAGCGAUCCGG
RNAcentral lists this ribosomal RNA (253 nucleotides) under uncultured bacterium. Its description in RNAcentral is "partial 16S ribosomal RNA". It matches the Rfam family "Bacterial small subunit ribosomal RNA", at positions 524 to 776 of the family's 1533-position model. The record is from RNAcentral.